Molecule: ribosomal RNA, 460 nt
Filed under: uncultured bacterium
Lineage: Bacteria
Description: partial 16S ribosomal RNA
Rfam family: Bacterial small subunit ribosomal RNA
Source: RNAcentral
CCUACGGGAGGCAGCAGUGAGGAAUAUUGGUCAAUGGGCGCGAGCCUGAACCAGCCAAGUAGCGUGAAGGAUGACUGCCCUACGGGUUGUAAACUCUUUUUAUAAAGGAAUAAAGUGAGGCACGUGUGCCUUUUUGUACGUACUUUAUGAAUAAGGAUCGGCUAACUCCGCGCCCGCAGCCGCGGUAAUACGGAGGAUCCGAGCGUUACCCGGAUUUAAUGGGUUUAAAGGGAGCGUAGAUGGGUUGGUAAGUCAGUUGUGAAAGUUUGCGGCUCAACCGUAAAAUUGCAAUUGAUACUGGCAGUCUUGAGUGCAGUUGAGGUAGGCGGAAUUCGUGGUGUAGCGGUGAAAUGCUUAGAUAUCACGAAGAACUCCGAUGGCGAAGGCAGCUUACUAAGCUGCCACUGACAUUGAUGCUCGAAAGUGUGGGUAGCAAACAGGAUUAGAUACCCGAGUAGUC